AAAAUCUGGUGGUUUCUUA
Molecule: unclassified non-coding RNA, 19 nt
Filed under: Dictyostelium discoideum
Lineage: Eukaryota; Evosea; Eumycetozoa; Dictyosteliales; Dictyosteliaceae
Source: RNAcentral